RNAcentral lists this ribosomal RNA (453 nucleotides) under uncultured bacterium. Its description in RNAcentral is "bacterial SSU rRNA". It matches the Rfam family "Bacterial small subunit ribosomal RNA", at positions 340 to 786 of the family's 1533-position model. The record is from RNAcentral.
UACGGAAGGCAGCAGUGGGGAAUAUUGCACAAUGGGCGCAAGCCUGAUGCAGCCAUGCCGCGUGUAUGAAGAAGGCCUUCGGGCUGUAAAGUACUUUCAGUCGUGAGGAAGGUGUUAAGGUUAAUAACCUUAGCAAUUGACGUUAGCGACAGAAGAAGCACCGGCUAACUCCGUGCCAGCAGCCGCGGUAAUACGGAGGGUGCGAGCGUUAAUCGGAAUUACUGGGCGUAAAGGGCACGCAGGCGGUUAAUUAAGUUGGAUGUGAAAUCCCCGGGCUUAACCUGGGAAUGGCAUUCAAGACUGGUUAGCUAGAGUCUUGUAGAGGGGGUAGAAUUCCAUGUGUAGCGGUGAAAUGCGUAGAGAUGUGGAGGAAUACCGGUGGCGAAGGCGGCCCCUGGACAAAGACUGACGCUCAUGUGCGAAAGCGUGGGGAGCAAACAGGGAUUAGAUACC